RNAcentral lists this unclassified non-coding RNA (406 nucleotides) under soil metagenome. RNAcentral describes it as "partial contains 5.8S ribosomal RNA, internal transcribed spacer 2, and large subunit ribosomal RNA". The stretch from base 1 to 122 matches the Rfam family "5.8S ribosomal RNA", at positions 35 to 154 of the family's 154-position model. The record is from RNAcentral.
GAUGAAGAACGUAGCGAAUUGCGAUAAGUAAUGUGAAUUGCAGAUUUUCAGUGAAUCAUCGAAUCUUUGAACGCACCUUGCGCCCUUUGGCCAUUCCGAAGGGCAUGCCUGUUUGAGUAUCAUGAACACCUCAACUCUUUAUGGUUUUCCAUGAUGAGCUUGGACUCUGGGGGUUUUGCUGGCUCACAGUCGGCUCCUCUAAAAUGAAUCAGCUUACCAGUGUUUGGUGGGUAUCAUGGGUGUGAUAACUAUCUACGCUUGUGGUUUUUCCACCAGGUAACCUUCAGCAGUGGAGGUUCGCUGGAGCUCAUAGAUGUCUCUCCUCAGUGAGGACAGCCCUUUGAAUGUUUGAUCUCAAAUCAGGUAGGACUACCCGCUGAACUUAAGCAUAUCAAUAAGCGGAGGA